UUGAACAGUUUCAAUUUGUUUUUAAAUUGUUCUACAACAAUUUUUAAGAAUUAAUUACGGAUACUGUUCAAA
This is a microRNA precursor of Caenorhabditis elegans, 72 nucleotides long. NCBI's taxonomy places the organism in Eukaryota, Metazoa, Nematoda, Chromadorea, Rhabditida, Rhabditidae. The record is from Ensembl.